GGUGUGGUAGAAGGUGUUAUAGAAAGUAAGACGGUAGUGCAUGAGGGUGAGAAGGGUGAGCCAUCGGUAGAUCUCAGGAGGUUAAGUAUAGAGAGAUACAAAGGAAUUACAAAGAGUUAGAGGCUAUAGCUGAUCGGGUUCUAGCCUUGCCUCAUACACCAUAAGUGGGCUCGAGCAAUCAGGCAUCACCGUGGGGGCCCG
Molecule: long non-coding RNA, 201 nt
Filed under: Prunus persica (peach)
Lineage: Eukaryota; Viridiplantae; Streptophyta; Magnoliopsida; Rosales; Rosaceae
Description: long non-coding RNA (PPER_LNC004749)
Source: RNAcentral